This 475-nucleotide ribosomal RNA is filed under the name uncultured Glomus. RNAcentral's name for it is "SSU rRNA". It matches the Rfam family "Eukaryotic small subunit ribosomal RNA", at positions 569 to 1048 of the family's 1831-position model. The record is from RNAcentral. Lineage: Eukaryota; Fungi; Glomeromycota; Glomeromycetes; Glomerales; Glomeraceae.
AGCAGCCGCGGUAAUUCCAGCUCCAAUAGCGUAUAUUAAAGUUGUUGCAGUUAAAAAGCUCGUAGUUGAAUUUCGGGGUUAGCAAGUUGGUCGUGCCUUCGGUAUGCACUGGCUUUGCUGAUUCCUCCUUCUUGAAGAACUGUGAUGUUAUUAAUUUGGUGUUGCAGGGGAAACAGGACUGUUACUUUGAAAAAUUAGAGUGUUUAAAGCAGGCUAACGCUUGAAUACAUUAGCAUGGAAUAAUGAAAUAGGACGUUUGAUCCUAUUUUGUUGGUUUCUAGGAUUGACGUAAUGAUUAAUAGGGAUAGUUGGGGGCAUUAGUAUUCAAUUGUCAGAGGUGAAAUUCUUGGAUUUAUUGAAGACUAACUACUGCGAAAGCAUUUGCCAAGGAUGUUUUCAUUAAUCAAGAACGAAAGUUAGGGGAUCGAAGACGAUCAGAUACCGUCGUAGUCUUAACCAUAAACUACGCCGACUA